CACACAUGCAAGUCGCAGGGGAAGCUCGCCUUCGGGUGAGUGGAGACUGGCGCACGGGUGAGUAACGCGUGGGAAUCUACCCUGGGGUGGGGGAUAACCGCUGGAAACGGCGGCUAAUACCGCAUACGCCUUUGGAGGGAAAGCUUUAGUGGCCUGGGAGGAGCCCGCGUCCGAAUUAUUAGUUGGUGAGGUAACGGCUUAACAAGGCGACGAUCGGUAGCUGGUCUGAGAGGAUGAUCAGCCACACUGGGACUGAGACACGGCCCAGACUCCUACGGGAGGCAGCAGUGGGGAAUAUUGGACAAUGGGGGCAACCCUGAUCCAGCCAUGCCGCGUGAGUGAAGAAGGCCUUAGGGUUGUAAAGCUCUUUCACCCGUGAAGAUGAUGACGGUAGCGGGAGAAGAAGCCCCGGCUAACUCCGUGCCAGCAGCCGCGGUAAUACGGAGGGGGCGAGCGUUGUUCGGAAUUACUGGGCGUAAAGGGCGCGUAGGCGGACGAUCAAGUCAGGGGUGAAAGGCCUGGGCUCAACCUGGGAACUGCCUUUGAAACUGAUUGUCUAGAGUCCGGGAGAGGAUGGCGGAAUUCCCAGUGUAGAGGUGA
RNAcentral lists this ribosomal RNA (600 nucleotides) under uncultured bacterium. RNAcentral describes it as "bacterial SSU rRNA". It matches the Rfam family "Bacterial small subunit ribosomal RNA", at positions 50 to 684 of the family's 1533-position model. The record is from RNAcentral.